UUAAGUUCAGCGGGUAUUCCUACCUGAUCCGAGGUCAACCUUGAUAAGUGGGGGUUUCACGACCGGAACCCGCGACGUGCCCUGAGCGAGGAUGUUUACCGCACUCGGUACGACGACGAGCCCGCCACUGGAUUUGGGAGCUGCGGCAGCCGCAGGGCUCCAACGCAAGCCGGGGGCUUGAUGGUUGAAAUGACGCUCGA
Molecule: unclassified non-coding RNA, 200 nt
Filed under: uncultured Sordariales
Lineage: Eukaryota; Fungi; Ascomycota; Sordariomycetes; Sordariales
Description: sequence contains ITS2
Source: RNAcentral